AACGCGAAGAACCUUACCUACCUUUGAAUCCACGGAAUCCUGCAGAGAUGUGGGAGUGCCUUCGGGAACCGUGAGACAGGUGCUGCAUGGCUGUCGUCAGCUCGUGUCGUGAGAUGUUGGGUUAAGUCCCGUAACGAGCGCAACCCUUGUCCUUAGUUACCAUCGAGUAAAGUCGGGGACUUUAAGGAGACUGCCGGUGAUAAACCGGAGGAAGGUGGGGAUGACGUCAAGUCCUCAUGGCCCUUACAGGUAGGGCUACACACGUGCUACAAUGGCCGGUACAGAGGGUCGCCAACCCGCGAGGGGGAGCUAAUCUCAAAAAGCCGGUCGUAGUCCGGAUUGGAGUCUGCAACUCGACUCCAUGAAGCUGGAAUCGCUAGUAAUCGCGGAUCAGCACGUCGCGGUGAAUACGUUCCCGGGCCUUGUACACACCGACGCAC
Molecule: ribosomal RNA, 440 nt
Filed under: uncultured bacterium
Lineage: Bacteria
Description: bacterial SSU rRNA
Rfam family: Bacterial small subunit ribosomal RNA
Source: RNAcentral